AAGCCUUGUGGUGUAACCACGCUGGAUUGCAAACCCAGAGAAGCGAACUGACGUUCGCCGGGGCUUC
RNAcentral lists this transfer RNA (67 nucleotides) under Spea bombifrons (plains spadefoot toad). RNAcentral describes it as "tRNA-Cys". The record is from RNAcentral. Lineage: Eukaryota; Metazoa; Chordata; Amphibia; Anura; Pelobatidae.